UCAAAAAGAUUGUUUAAAAUGGCUGAAAAUGAGCCAACAAUUGGCUUGACCAUCACCAAUUCUAAAAAUCUUCCAUCUGACCUAAGAGCCAAUUUUUUAUAAGCUCAUACCUACCUUCUCAAGAUGUUCAAUAUCUGUCGUGCAACUCUGAAGCCUCUGUGCGUCAUAUUACAACCUCCGCUUCCAAGUAACUGCGCCACCACCAUCAGCAACACCUCUCUCUCUCAAUCAUUUUAUCAGGUGUUGUAGAACGAGAAAACGGGAGUAUGACUUUGGGGUUAAGUUUCCUCGAAGACCAUAAACCAUGAGGAAGAAGAGGUAACUGAAUGGAAUUCAGUCUUGAUGGUGUUAUUAUAAGGAUUGAAUGACGGCCCUUUUUCUAUAUAUAUACAUAUUUGUUAGUAUGUUGUGUGAUCAAUAUAAGACAAAGUG
This is a long non-coding RNA of Sesamum indicum (sesame), 432 nucleotides long. RefSeq lists it as uncharacterized. Lineage: Eukaryota; Viridiplantae; Streptophyta; Magnoliopsida; Lamiales; Pedaliaceae. The record is from RefSeq and is a predicted model, not a curated record.